GACGAACCGUGCGAACGUUAUUCGGAAUCAUUGGGCUUAAAGGGCGCGUAGGCGGCGGCGUAAGUUGGAAGUGAAAUCCCAUCGGCUCAACCGUGGAAUAGCUUUCAGUACUGCGUCGCUCGAGUGAGAUAGGGGUCCGUGGAACUACCGGUGGAGCGGUGAAAUGUGUUGAUAUCGGUGGGAACGCCAGUGGCGAAAGCGACGGACUGGACCUUUACUGACGCUGAGGCGCGAAAGCUAGGGGAGCAAACGGGAUUAGAUACCCCGGUAGUCCUAGCCUUAAACGUUGGGUACUGGGUAGAAAGGGUUCCGAUAGCCCCUUCUGCCGGAGCGAAAGUGUUAAGUACCCCGCCUGGGGAGUAUGGUCGCAAGGCUGAA
RNAcentral lists this ribosomal RNA (378 nucleotides) under uncultured bacterium. RNAcentral's name for it is "bacterial SSU rRNA". It matches the Rfam family "Bacterial small subunit ribosomal RNA", at positions 524 to 898 of the family's 1533-position model. The record is from RNAcentral.